RNAcentral lists this ribosomal RNA (301 nucleotides) under uncultured bacterium. RNAcentral describes it as "bacterial SSU rRNA". It matches the Rfam family "Bacterial small subunit ribosomal RNA", at positions 505 to 805 of the family's 1533-position model. The record is from RNAcentral.
GUGCCAGCAGCCGCGGUAAUACGGAGGGGGCUAGCGUUGUUCGGAAUUACUGGGCGUAAAGCGCGCGUAGGCGGAUUGGAAAGUUGGGGGUGAAAUUCCAGGGCUCAACCCUGGAACUGCCUCCAAAACUUCCAGUCUGGAGUUCGAGAGAGGUGAGUGGAAUUCUGAGUGUGGAGGUGAAAUUCGUAGAUAUUCAGAAGAACACCAGUGGCGAAGGCGGUCCACUGGCCUGCUACUGACGCUGAGGCGCGAAAGUGUGGGGAGCAAACAGGAUUAGAUACCCUGGUAGUCCACACCGUAA